RNAcentral lists this long non-coding RNA (2961 nucleotides) under Taeniopygia guttata (zebra finch). RNAcentral's name for it is "lncRNA (ENSTGUG00000022618.1)". Lineage: Eukaryota; Metazoa; Chordata; Aves; Passeriformes; Estrildidae. The record is from RNAcentral.
GCUCCCAGCGAUGGGGACCGGCGCCCUGCCCGCCGCAUCCGCGGCUGGAACGGUUCUGCCUUUCGCCGUGCCCGCCGCUCCGGCGGCUUGAGCAGCGCCUCUGGCUCCCGCCCCCCCCCCUCCCCCCGCUGUCUCAGCAGCAGCACCUCUGCCUCCCUCGCCCGCUGGUGCUUCAGUGCCCGUGAUGCCUGCUGCGCCCCAGCAGCCAGUGCCGUUCCUGUCAUCGAUGACACAUCCACGGUGUUGCAAGCUCCUGCUGACCCUUUCGUCUUGCCGUCUGCGACGGAGGGAUUCGCCGAGCGGCCGGUGAUGGUUCCAGUCCCCGCCCCGUCACCAGCGGCUGGCCCACCUGGUUCGGGAGCUGUUGGCUCGGGGGCCCAGCCCAGUGCUUCGGCUUCGCAGUCGAUAGCCGCCUGCCCAGCCUCGGUGUCUCCUGUCAGCCCACCCUCCCUCGUGGAUCGCGGACUGUCCCACACGCCCCUGUCACAGGAGGCAGCAUCUUUGCAGGCAGGCCUGUCGUCCUCAUUGACUGGUCGGCACAAGAUGGAGAAGAAGAAGAAGGGCAAGCAGGAACCCGCAUUGCUCAACUUGUGCCUUUCCAGUCGUGUGUUCCCAGAGCAGAUCAGCAGAUGCGUGGAGAUGGUGGUUUCGAAUCCACAGGACCUACGCAAGUCCUCUGGUCCUCGCUCAUUUCUGCCAACCGUCCACAAAUGGUGUGCUCCGUGGUUUUGCCAGGUGCCAGCCCGUCUCGGAUUCAUCUGCAAGGUUUGAUCGACACCGGGGCUGACGUGACAGUCGUCUCCGCCUCUGUGUGGCCUCCUAAGUGGCCUUUGGACUCCGUGGGAGUGGCCAUUGAAGGCUUGGGAGUUGCAGUACAGACAUUUAUGUGCCGGCAGGCUGUGUUGAGCAAAAACAUGGAAGGGCAGACAGCAAAGGUUCGGCCCUAUGUUACUGCAGCUCCGGUCACUCUUUGGGGGCGGGAUGUGCCGGCAGCCUGGGGUGUGCGCAUCGGGACGGAUUUUUGAUGGGGGUCACUGUGUUGAAGGGCGCAGAUUACCCUACACUGCCUUUGCGGUGGUUGGUGACCAGAGCCGACCUCCUUGGAAGUAUUUGGGGGUCAAGAUUCUGGAGCAAACCAUUCAGCAUCAGGAGGUGCAAUUUCCAGAGACUAUUGCAACGCUGAAUGAUGCCCAGAGAUUGCUUGGGGUCCUCAAUUGGUUACGUCCCUAUCUGGGGCUGACCACGGCGCAGCUGUCCCUGCUGUUCAAACUUUUAAAGGGGGACCCGGACCUGAGUUCGCCUUGGAAAUUGACUCUUGAAGCGCGGCAAGCGCUGGAGGAGGUUCAAAAGGCUCUGUCUACUCGUCCGGUUUACCAAGUAGACCCUUCCAUUGAUAUCACUGUCUGAAGGUAACGCCAGGGCUGAUAGGUUGGCUAACCCUGCGUGGGUGGCACCUCAGCCUGAUAGAACUGCGCAAGCCAAGGCAUUGCAUGACUUUUUUCACCAAAGUGCACAUACUUUGCAAAAACAGUUUGAUUUGACAGCAACCGAGGCUCGUGACAUUGUCAGCUCUUGUGCUGACUGUCAUGGGUUUGCUGCACCUUUACCGGCGGGGGUGGACCCCAGAGGCCUGAAGGCCUUGCAGCGCUGGCAAACAGAUGUUACACACAUUGCUGAGUUUGCUCGACUUAAGUAUGUGCAUGUGUCUGUCGACACCUUCUCCUCCGCCAUGUGGGCAACUGUUCACACGGGGGAGAAGAGUCGCGACGCAAUUGCUCAUUGGAGGAUGGCUUUUGCAGUUCUGGGGAUACCUUCGUGCGUAAAGACUGACAAUGGCCCUGCCUAUGCCUCACAGAAGUUAUGUCAGUUUUUGCACCUGUGGGGAGUCUCACACAAGUUUGGUACUGCACAUUCACCCACAGCUCAAGCCAUUGUUGAACGCGUGCAUGGCACUUUAAAGCGUGUUCUGGAGAAACAAAAAGGGGGAAUGCCAGGAGAGACUCCACACAGUCGGUUGGAGAAAGCUUUGUAUACAAUCAACCAUUUAACUGUGCCAAAGAAUUCAGAGAUUCCUGUCAUUUUGAAUCAUUUUCUCUCAUUGCAUUCAGCAGGUGAGACGCAUCUGCCCUGAGCGCAGGUCUGGGUGCGAGACCUUGUCACCAAUAGGUGGGAGGGUCCGUGCAACCUCAUUACUUGGGGCCGCGGGUAUGCAUGUGUCUCCACAGGUACCAGGGUACGAUGGAUACUUGCAAAGUGUGUUCGCCCUGACUUGAGACAGCAGAAACAGAGUGUGGUCAACAGAUAGCCUGUGAGCAGUGACCAUGCUGCUGACCAUCCAUCACAAUCUUCAGAUGAUGAUCAAGACAUCAACCAUCAGUCAGCCAGCCCCUCCACGAGGGGGAAAUGAACAUUUGAUUUGCUUUGCUUUUUGGACAUGAACUGGUGACGAGUUAGACUGCCUGUGUUACAAGCAGACUAACAAUGUUUUGGUGUUGGUGAUGGAGUUUUAGAUUUAAUAGUUAAGUUUGUAAAGAGUUAUAGUGUAAGUCAAAAUCUCUUUGACUGUUCUGAGCCAACAUUCAAUGAGGUUUUGAAUCAUCAACUAGUGAACCUCGGAGUCGUGUUUGUCCUCUCUUCUGCAAGAGACCUUGCAAAAAGGAGACAAACACUGCCUUCUUUUUUAAAACUAAAAGAGAAGACAUGUGGGUCUCAGAUUCAGUCAAAGAAAGAAAUUGAGAGUUUCUAGCCAGGCAAAAGCCUGGGAAAGAGCUGGAAAAGAAUGUAAAUAAUUCUUUAUCUCUCUUGACCUCACACUGUUUAUAGUUAAGUUCUGUCACUGUGCGUCAAGCACUCUGAACCAAUGUUGUAGUUUGUUUUCACUUUAGGACCAAUGGAUUUAACCUUUGCAAAGCUCUGUAUAAAAGAGCAGUGUAUUUUGAAUAAAUCGGAGUUUUCACUCUC